This 383-nucleotide ribosomal RNA is filed under the name uncultured Anaplasmataceae bacterium. Its description in RNAcentral is "bacterial SSU rRNA". It matches the Rfam family "Bacterial small subunit ribosomal RNA", at positions 854 to 1230 of the family's 1533-position model. Lineage: Bacteria; Pseudomonadati; Pseudomonadota; Alphaproteobacteria; Rickettsiales; Anaplasmataceae. The record is from RNAcentral.
AACGCGUUAAGCACUCCGCCUGGGGACUACGGUCGCAAGACUAAAACUCAAAGGAAUUGACGGGGACCCGCACAAGCGGUGGAGCAUGUGGUUUAAUUCGAUGCAACGCGAAAAACCUUACCACUUCUUGACAUGGAGGUUAGAUCUUUCUUAACAGAAAGGCGCAGUUCGGCUGGACCUCACACAGGUGCUGCAUGGCUGUCGUCAGCUCGUGUCGUGAGAUGUUGGGUUAAGUCCCGCAACGAGCGUAACCCUCAUCCUUAGUUACCAGCGGGUAAUGCCGGGCACUUUAAGGAAACUGCCGGUGAUAAACCGGAGGAAGGUGGGGAUGAUGUCCAAGUCAGCACGGCCCUUUAUGGGGUGGGCUACACCAACGUCUACAA